RNAcentral lists this transfer RNA (64 nucleotides) under Marmota marmota marmota (Alpine marmot). It matches the Rfam family "tRNA", at positions 1 to 62 of the family's 71-position model. From Rfam's summary of the family: Transfer RNA (tRNA) molecules are approximately 80 nucleotides in length. Their secondary structure includes four short double-helical elements and three loops (D, anti-codon, and T loops). Lineage: Eukaryota; Metazoa; Chordata; Mammalia; Rodentia; Sciuridae. RNAcentral also lists the same sequence under 4 other names. The record is from Rfam by way of RNAcentral.
GGGAAUUUAGCUCAGUUGGUAGAGUGCUUGCCUCCCAUGCACAAGGCCCUGGCUUCAAUUCCCA